Long non-coding RNA from Papaver somniferum (opium poppy), 1714 nucleotides. RefSeq lists it as uncharacterized. The transcript has 3 exons. NCBI's taxonomy places the organism in Eukaryota, Viridiplantae, Streptophyta, Magnoliopsida, Ranunculales, Papaveraceae. The record is from RefSeq and is a predicted model, not a curated record.
UGACACAAAGUCACCGUAUAGAGUCCUCCCUCGCUUCGAUCGGUGGGCCUAAUAACGUAGUCUUUCUCCAAAAAUUCUCACAACCCUAAAAAGCGACUCGCAUCUUUUCAAAAAAUUUGUCACUCUGAAUUCUGAAACCAUCAUGGAGUCAUCAACUACUUCAAUCGCCUUUUUCCAACUUAAGCUAAAUCUAGUCACUCUGAAUCUCUAAUUUCGCGAACAUCAAAAGUAUGUCUGUUCUACACCUGUAAGAGACUUUUGGUUGGUGGAGAAGAACCGGAUUAUUUGAAAGUGCAUUUUUCCAAAAGCUGGAAUGAGAUGCGCCACCUAUUUAUCAUGGAGGUGCGAUCAUUUAUCAUUCCACCCUCCAGUCUCCCUUUUUAGCCACUUAUUCUCUGUUAGGUGAUUGCAUAUCUCUGGCCUCCUAUCAUACUCUGAGCAGUUUUGACUUCUUUAUGCAUUGUUACUUUGCUUAGUGACAGAUUCUUGUCAGCAUAUAUACAUCAUGAACAUGAAUCUGAAAAUAUUAUAUGUGAAUUACAAACACGACCAAUGUGCACAUACUUGAAAUGUGGUAUCCAUGGUCUGCAAACAAUCAGUUAAGUCAUAAAGGAGCAUAAUAAUGCAGGAAAAUAAAUCAUAAAGUUAUUUGUUAUAACAUUGUAGUACCUCAUAUAAGCCUCACUAGUUGUUGGAGAUUCAUUUAUUUCUUGUUACUAUUCAGAUGCUAUGGAGUUCUAUUGAGAAGUUCCCCCUUCACAUGUUACUCUUGUUACGUUUCACCUUCCUCUUUGCACGAACUUGGUGGAAAUUCCUGUUGGUUUGACUGAUUUCUCGCACAACAGAUUGUAGUAUUCUAUAUUUCAUGAUAGUGAUGAUGUAUGCAAUAAGUUAUAAGCCUAAGAUUGGCUUCUAAGUAGUUUGCAUAUGACAAAUUUCAAGUGUACCUCUUUACUUGCACUUUUAUAUUUUGCUAACCUGUGCAAGGGUCUUCAUGCUUAACCUAGUCCCGAGAUUUAUAAGGUAUUAAGUGUCAUAAAUUAAUAUAUUUUUUAAUUCAUAAUGCUUCAGGGUGGUAUGAAUUCUGAUUAUACCUGAUAGUCAUACAGUUAUCAGAUUUGGUAACAGAAAAAUUAUAGACAAUGGUUUAUUGAUAACCAGUUGUUUUUUCUUAAAGAUGGAAUAAGAUAGAGCAAUAGCUUGCGGAAUAUUUAGGAUUAAGAAAGUUAAAUGGAAAAAGUUUCACUAUGUACCCACGAUACAAAUGCAGAUUGUCUUGCAGAUAAACCUAAUGCAUUAACCAAAGGGGAGUUGAAGGAUCUUGUGGAAUUUUGGGUUAGUGAAGAGCAUCAGAUUGCAAUGUCAAGAGUAGAAGCCACUAAAAAGCCAAGCACACAGUGGGCAGGAAAAACUGUUCAAUGCAAAGCUGAAAUGGUACAUACACAAGUUGGUCUUUACAGUCGCUUUUCACUUUGCAACUUUAAAGUUAUUCAAGGUGAUAUUGUUUGGUCGUGGAUUUGAAUGUUCAUGGUUAAGAGAUAUUAAUUUGAAGUAAAAAGUUUCUCUACUGGUUAAUAUGAAAGUCUGAGAUUCUAUAAAUUAAUUUGUUUCUUUUCUUGUGGUAAAAUUGGAUUUUCUAUACUCUGUAUAACAUAUAAUGAAAUUUGAAUUCUUUGUUUUAAUUCAAUGUAUGUGUGAAAUUCUCUUAUGAAAA